Acanthosepion pharaonis is the source of this 113-nucleotide non-coding RNA. The record is from the annotation of a GenBank genome assembly. NCBI's taxonomy places the organism in Eukaryota, Metazoa, Mollusca, Cephalopoda, Sepiida, Sepiidae.
UUACGGUCAUAUCACGUUGAAAUAUUGGUUCCCGUACGAUCACCGAAGUUAAGCAACAUCUAACCUGGUCAGUACCUAGAUGUGUAACCGAUUGGGAAUACAAGCUGCUGUAA